GCCCAAAUAAGGGGAACCCCUGACUAAGCCAUAAAGGGGGAAA
RNAcentral lists this ribosomal RNA (43 nucleotides) under Robbauera albescens. RNAcentral's name for it is "partial 28S ribosomal RNA". The record is from RNAcentral. Lineage: Eukaryota; Fungi; Basidiomycota; Exobasidiomycetes; Robbauerales; Robbaueraceae.